This 305-nucleotide ribosomal RNA is filed under the name uncultured bacterium. Its description in RNAcentral is "bacterial SSU rRNA". It matches the Rfam family "Bacterial small subunit ribosomal RNA", at positions 337 to 634 of the family's 1533-position model. The record is from RNAcentral.
ACCUACGGGACGCAGCAGUAGGGAAUCUUCCACAAUGGGCGAAAGCCUGAUGGAGCAACGCCGCGUGGGUGAAGAAGGUCUUCGGAUCGUAAAACCCUGUUGUUAGAGAAGAAAGUGCGUGAGAGUAACUGUUCACGUUUCGACGGUAUCUAACCAGAAAGCCACGGCUAACUACGUGCCAGCAGCCGCGGGAAUACGUAGGCGGCAAGCGUUAUCCGGACUUAUUGGGCGUAAAGGGAACGCAGGCGGUCUUUUAAGUCUGAUUGGAAAGCCUUCGGCUUAACCGGAGGAGGGCAUUGGAAACU